UGAACGCUGGCGGUAUGCUUAACACAUGCAAGUCGAACGGAAACGAUACUAGCUUGCUAGUAGGCGUCGAGUGGCGGACGGGUGAGUAACGCGUAGGAAUCUGCCUGAUAGUGGGGGAUAGCCCGAAGAAAUUCGGAUUAAUACCGCAUAAUCUAUUCGUAGUAAAGUGGGGGACUUUCGAGCCUCACGCUAUCAGAUGAGCCUGCGUAAGAUUAGCUUGUUGGUAGGGUAAAAGCCUACCAAGGCGACGAUCUUUAGCUGGUCUGAGAGGAUGAUCAGCCACAUCGGGACUGAGACACGGCCCGAACUCCUACGGGAGGCAGCAGUGGGGAAUAUUGGACAAUGGGGGCAACCCUGAUCCAGCAAUACCGCGUGUGUGAAGAAGGCCUGAGGGUUGUAAAGCACUUUCAAUUGUGAAGAAAAGUUAGCGGUUAAUAACCGUUAGCCUUGACGUUAACUUUAGAAGAAGCACCGGCUAACUCCGUGCCAGCAGCCGCGGUAAUACGGAGGGUGCAAGCGUUAAUCGGAAAUUACUGGGCGUAAAGCGUGCGUAGGCGGUUUAUUAAGUCAGAUGUGAAAGCCCCGGGCUUAACCUGGGAACUGCAUUUGAAACUGGUCAACUAGAGUAUGGUAGAGGAAAGUGGAAUUUCUGGUGUAGCGGUGAAAUGCGUAGAUAUCAGAAGGAACAUCAAUGGCGAAGGCAGCUUUCUGGACCAAUACUGACGCUGAGGUACGAAAGCGUGGGUAGCAAACAGGAUUAGAUACCCUGGUAGUCCACGCCGUAAACGAUGAUAACUAGCCGUUGGGGGGAUUUACCCUUUAGUGGCGAAGCUAACGCGUUAAGUUAUCCGCCUGGGGAGUACGGCCGCAAGGUUAAAACUCAAAGGAAUUGACGGGGACCCGCACAAGCGGUGGAGCAUGUGGUUUAAUUCGAUGCAACGCGAAGAACCUUACCUGGUCUUGACAUCCUGCGAACUUUCUAGAAAUAGAUUGGUGCCUUCGGGAACGCAGUGACAGGUGCUGCAUGGCUGUCGUCAGCUCGUGUCGUGAGAUGUUGGGUUAAGUCCCGUAACGAGCGCAACCCCUAUCCUUAUUUGCCAGCACAUCAUGGUGGGAACUAUAAGGAGACUGCCGGUGAUAAACCGGAGGAAGGCGGGGACGACGUCAAGUCAUCAUGGCCCUUACGACCAGGGCUACACACGUGCUACAAUGGGAAGGACAAAGAGCCGCGAAGCCGCGAGGUGUAGCUAAUCUCAUAAACCUUUUCGUAGUCCGGAUUGGAGUCUGCAACUCGACUCCAUGAAGUCGGAAUCGCUAGUAAUCGUAGAUCAGAAUGCUACGGUGAAUACGUUCCCGGGUCUUGUACUCACCGC
This 1373-nucleotide ribosomal RNA is filed under the name uncultured bacterium. RNAcentral's name for it is "16S ribosomal RNA". It matches the Rfam family "Bacterial small subunit ribosomal RNA", at positions 30 to 1393 of the family's 1533-position model. The record is from RNAcentral.